Poecilia latipinna (sailfin molly) is the source of this 785-nucleotide long non-coding RNA. RefSeq lists it as uncharacterized. The record is from RefSeq and is a predicted model, not a curated record. The transcript has 3 exons. Lineage: Eukaryota; Metazoa; Chordata; Actinopteri; Cyprinodontiformes; Poeciliidae.
UGUGUUCUGGCAGCUUGCAGGCUUAUCAUUGUACCAGAGAACUUAUGUGCUGUUUGGUAAGGAGUAAACCUUGUUCAGGAAACUGUUUAUCCACCUCGGCACUGUGUCCGCUUAUCAGCACAACACAGAAGCACCAGAGACUUUCCCAGCGCCGGACUCAGCAGCUCCAACUUAUCACCUUGCUGCAUUUUGCAACCUCACCACCAGCAGCACCGAGAGGUUUAUUCAAACAUGGAUACCGCACACAGGGCCUUUCAGAAUCCCUGCACAUUGCUUCGUGACCCAGACGGGUCCUGUUUGCUUUGCUUCUCCAAGUCAGACACACGCGUACAGUUCUAUAGCGUAUGACAUCACGAGACAAGACUUGUAAACCUGGAAGGAAGGGUCGAUAACAGCAGGACUCCGUUUUCUCUGCACCCUGAAAUUCCCAGAAGAGUUCUUGGCAUAUAUGCUGUGACGCAAAAGAAAUACAGUGGAUGAACUGUGACCUUUGCUCUCAUUCCCUGAAGGUCACCACUCUACUUUACAUACACAGAUGAGGCCCUCUAUUCCGGAAAUGAUAAGACAAACAACAGAGUAGAGACUCCCCCCGGCUGCCUGAGCCAGCUCUCCUGAGACCGCCGCUUCGCAUAAGAACCUUCACUUCUCAGCUGUCUCCCACAGGUUCAACCAGUGGACAUUGGCGCAAGGGAAAACAAAAUGAUUAUAUUGCCUCCAAUUUGAUUAUUACUUCAUCAUUAUUGUUUAUCUUGUGGUAAUACACAAUAAAGACUGUGACAAGUGAG